RNAcentral lists this non-coding RNA (144 nucleotides) under Burkholderia sp. WP9. Lineage: Bacteria; Pseudomonadati; Pseudomonadota; Betaproteobacteria; Burkholderiales; Burkholderiaceae. The record is from RNAcentral.
CCUUACCGUACAUAGGAUCUAUCCAGACAUGCGUGACCGGUAAUGGUCGGGUGUGAAGCUCUGGAGAUAUUGCGCCUCCCGAUUAGCGGUUCAUCCUGGUGACGGGGAAGGAAUCGACACUGCGAGCCGCCGUGCGGGGUGAGG